UACGUAGGUGGCGAGCGUUAUCCGGAAUGAUUGGGCGUAAAGAGCGCGUAGGCGGGAUAGCAAGUCAGAUGUGAAAUCCUAUGGCUUAACCAUAGAACUGCAUUUGAAACUGUUAUUCUAGAGUAUGGGAGAGGUAGGUGGAAUUCUUGGUGUAGGGGUAAAAUCCGUAGAGAUCAAGAGGAAUACUCAUUGCGAAGGCGACCUGCUAGAACAUAACUGACGCUGAUGCGCGAAAGCGUGGGGAGCAAACAGG
This 253-nucleotide ribosomal RNA is filed under the name uncultured Helicobacteraceae bacterium. RNAcentral describes it as "partial 16S ribosomal RNA". It matches the Rfam family "Bacterial small subunit ribosomal RNA", at positions 524 to 776 of the family's 1533-position model. Lineage: Bacteria; Pseudomonadati; Campylobacterota; Epsilonproteobacteria; Campylobacterales; Helicobacteraceae. The record is from RNAcentral.